GGUGGCUCAGAGGUAGAGUGUUUGCCUUGCAUGCAUGAGGUUCUGGGUUCAAUUCCUCAGCACCA
Molecule: transfer RNA, 65 nt
Filed under: Dipodomys ordii (Ord's kangaroo rat)
Lineage: Eukaryota; Metazoa; Chordata; Mammalia; Rodentia; Heteromyidae
Rfam family: tRNA
About the family: Transfer RNA (tRNA) molecules are approximately 80 nucleotides in length. Their secondary structure includes four short double-helical elements and three loops (D, anti-codon, and T loops).
Source: Rfam by way of RNAcentral